AUUUAAAUAGUUUUAAAAAAAAUAUUGAUUUGUGGUAUCAAAGUUAUUAAAUUUUAAUUUUAAAUA
This 66-nucleotide transfer RNA is filed under the name Helorus sp. ZJUH_2016017. Its description in RNAcentral is "tRNA-His". Lineage: Eukaryota; Metazoa; Arthropoda; Insecta; Hymenoptera; Heloridae. The record is from RNAcentral.